AGCUACUGCUUUUGGAGAAAAUAAUCAUUGUAAGCACACAUUAACAUGCUGAGGCUGCCCUGAAAAAUCAAUUCAUACAUAUAAUACUGCUGUUUUCAGAGAACAUAUGCAGCGCCCCCUCCUCCGACCUCUGCCCCCGUAAAUUUAGCGGCGCCAAAUGGCCGACGUGACCGUGCGCUCGUCUCUCUUUCCAGGUCAACGGCCUGGACAUGCAGGGGGCGACCCACCACGAGGCAGUCGGUGCCCUCAGGAAUGCAGGAAGCUGCAUCAGGAUGACAGUCCUCAGAGACAGGCUUCCACCUCGAGAGGUGAACCUCUCCGUUGGUCCCUGGGACGAGCGGGACGCCACAGGACAACAGCCGUCAAACCCGGAAGGCCAGACGGCCAAAGCAGCAUUGAUGGAGGGUCGAGAGGGGUGUUUGUCCGAGAGCAUUGAGGCGGUUGUCUGCAAUGGCAACGACGUUCCUGGACGGAAAAAUGAGAUGAAUCAGAUCUCGUCUAAACUGAAAAAAGACUCUUUGCAAGACGGGAAACACACAAUGGGGAUCCCGCGGAUCAUCCUCACUCAUCCCUCUACCUCAGAUGAAGAUGUGGAGCUCUUGACCCAGAGCCCCAGCGCAGAGCAGCCGCAUGACUUUGACAUUCCUGGCAGGUGUGUCUGCUUUGACAACGCUUUCUACCCUCCUUGACCUCAAUUAUGGACUAGAAUCCUACAGAUUCUUUCACUUUCUUUUGGUUUUUUUUUUUUGUAGCGCAAUGCUCUGUCGGGUAAUUCAGUGCUAAUAGCAUCUCACGAUUAAUGUUAUUUUAAAAUGAAAGGAUGAUUUUAGACUUUAUUUUUGCUACUGAAACCACAGAUUUGCCUCUGCAGCUGCACUGAUUAGACAGUAUACACAGACCUUUUCCUCCACAGCUCCAAUAAUGUAUGUGAUUGCGUUAAAUCCAGUCAAUUAAACAAGAAAAGCUGCUGGCUACUUCUGCUACACACCACCUAAGUUAUGAUGUUCCCACUCUUUGUGUAUAUGCCCUUUGAUAAUGUGAAGCUCUCCCAGAUGGCAGACGGAGCACUCAGGAGGUGUCGGGCGAUUUCUGUCACGGGCAACGUUGUGACGAGUGACAUUUAUUUUAAAGGAGACAAGCGCCAAGACUUCAUAAUUUUGUUGAAAACGUGAAUGUCAACGCUUCUCUUGUUCCUACACAUCCUAGAACCCCUCAAAAAACAACUCGCUGUCCACUUUUCUUAAUAAAGUGCUAAUCUACUCUUACCCUUAUUGCCGUUCUCCAGUAUUUAGAUAUUUGCUGGUACAGAGGACAACGCAACAGCAUCCUGCAUUAAUGUGCUGGCU
This 1346-nucleotide long non-coding RNA is filed under the name Takifugu rubripes (torafugu). Its description in RNAcentral is "lncRNA (ENSTRUG00000031710.1)". The record is from RNAcentral. Lineage: Eukaryota; Metazoa; Chordata; Actinopteri; Tetraodontiformes; Tetraodontidae.